UGUUUGAUCCUGGCUCAGAACGAACGCUGGCGGCGUGCCUAACACAUGCAAGUCGAGCGAGAAAGUCCCUUCGGGGGCGAGUAGAGCGGCGGACGGGUGAGUAAUACGUGGAUAAUCUCCCCUCGAGCUUGGGAUAACCCUGCGAAAGUGGGGCUAAUACCGGAUAAGACCACAUGGCAUAUGCCACGGGGUAGAAGGUGGCUUAUAUUUAUAUGAGCUAUCACUUGAGGAUGAGUCCAUGGCCUAUCAGCUUGUUGGUGAGGUAAGAGCUCACCAAGGCUAUGACGGGUAGCUGGUCUGAGAGGACGACCAGCCACACUGGGACUGAGACACGGCCCAGACUCCUACGGGAGGCAGCAGUGGGGAAUAUUGGGCAAUGGGCGAAAGCCUGACCCAGCGACGCCGCGUGGGUGAUGAAGGCCUUCGGGUUGUAAAGCCCUUUCGUGCGGAAAGAACAGUCCCGUAGUGAAUAUCUACGGGAUUUGACGGUACCGCAGGAAGAAGCACCGGCUAA
Molecule: ribosomal RNA, 514 nt
Filed under: uncultured bacterium
Lineage: Bacteria
Description: bacterial SSU rRNA
Rfam family: Bacterial small subunit ribosomal RNA
Source: RNAcentral